UUAAAAAAUUACAAAUUAAAUUUAAAAGGAAACACACAUGUUGUCACUUUUUUUAUUUAUGAAAUGUCAUUAAAUAACGGCAUUUGGUUUCAGAAUAGAAGUUUUAUUGAAGAUCAUGCAUGACGAAAUCGGACAGUGUAACUUGUAUCUUUUACAAGAUUUGAAUUUGUUAUACGCAGUCUAACACAUGUAGUUUCGGAGCACAUUUUACAGAGUACGGUUUAUCUGUUUGGAAUGAGAUGUAUCAAUCGGCAUGAGAUUUAUAAGAACCCUUCCCUUCGAUAUCGUUGAAAUUAUGCCAUGGCGAUGUGUUCGACGGACUAACAGAGCAACUCAUCCUGCAAACACGCCAAAACAGUAUUGGAAAGUC
Molecule: long non-coding RNA, 370 nt
Filed under: Mytilus galloprovincialis (Mediterranean mussel)
Lineage: Eukaryota; Metazoa; Mollusca; Bivalvia; Mytilida; Mytilidae
Source: RNAcentral